Molecule: ribosomal RNA, 372 nt
Filed under: uncultured organism
Description: bacterial SSU rRNA
Rfam family: Bacterial small subunit ribosomal RNA
Source: RNAcentral
CGUAGGAGGCAAGCGUUAUCCGGAUUCACUGGGCGUAAAGCGCGUGCAGGUGGCGCGGUAAGUUGGGCGUGAAAUCUCCCGGCUCAACUGGGAGAGGUCGUUCAAUACUACCGUGCUUGAGAGCAGAAGAGGAAGAUGGAAUACCCGGUGUAGUGGUGAAAUGCGUAGAUAUCGGGAGGAACACCAGUGGCGAAGGCGAUCUUCUGGUCUGUUUCUGACACUCAGACGCGACAGCUAGGGUAGUAAACGGGAUUAGAGACCCCGGUAAUCCUAGCCGUAAACGAUGUGAACUUGGCGUUGGUGGGUUAAACUCCAUCAGUGCCGUAGCAAACGCGAUAAGUUCACCGCCUGGGGACUACGGCCGCAAGGUUA